Molecule: ribosomal RNA, 249 nt
Filed under: uncultured bacterium
Lineage: Bacteria
Description: partial 16S ribosomal RNA
Rfam family: Bacterial small subunit ribosomal RNA
Source: RNAcentral
CGGAGGUGCAAGCGUUAAUCGGAAUUACUGGCGUAAGCGCACGUAGGUGGUUGUUAAGCCAGCUGUGAAAUCCCCGGGCUCAACCUGGGCACUGCAGUUGGAACUGGCAAGCUAGAGUAGGGUAGAGGGUGGUGGAAUUCCAGGUGUAGCGGUGAAAUGCGUAGAUAUCUGGAGGAACAUCAGUGGCGAAGGCGACACCCUGGACUCAUACUGACACUGAGGUGCGAAAGCGUGGGAGCAAACAGGAUU